This 243-nucleotide long non-coding RNA is filed under the name Mytilus galloprovincialis (Mediterranean mussel). Lineage: Eukaryota; Metazoa; Mollusca; Bivalvia; Mytilida; Mytilidae. The record is from RNAcentral.
GUGGUUUUGGGGUGACCUAAAUUGAUUUUUUUAUUGUUAGGAUAAAGACAUGGAUCCAAUAGUGAACAUGGAGUUAGUAGUUGAAAACGUCAAAGCCCUGAGAGGUAUAGCCAAAAUGAACCACCUUCGAGGGUAUUCCCGGUUGAGGAAAGAUCAGUUGGUUGAGAGGUGAUAGAAACGAAGACAAAUCUUAAAUUUCAUCGUCGUCCCAAACCCCACACGAGGAAGGAGAUUAUCACCCAG